RNAcentral lists this transfer RNA (69 nucleotides) under Plestiodon tetragrammus. RNAcentral describes it as "partial tRNA-Gln". It matches the Rfam family "tRNA". Rfam says of the family: Transfer RNA (tRNA) molecules are approximately 80 nucleotides in length. Their secondary structure includes four short double-helical elements and three loops (D, anti-codon, and T loops). Lineage: Eukaryota; Metazoa; Chordata; Lepidosauria; Squamata; Scincidae. The record is from RNAcentral.
AGAGAGUCGUAUAGUGGAAGUACAGAGGGUUUUGAGCCCUUAGGUGCAGGUUCGGAUCCUGUCUUUCUA